This 254-nucleotide ribosomal RNA is filed under the name uncultured bacterium. RNAcentral describes it as "partial 16S ribosomal RNA". It matches the Rfam family "Bacterial small subunit ribosomal RNA", at positions 524 to 776 of the family's 1533-position model. The record is from RNAcentral.
UACGAAGGGGGCUAGCGUUGUUCGGAUUUACUGGGCGUAAAGCGCACGUAGGCGGAUAUUUAAGUCAGGGGUGAAAUCCCGGGGCUCAACCCCGGAACUGCCUUUGAUACUGGGUAUCUUUGAGUCCGGAAGAGGUGAGUGGAAUUCCGAGUGUAGAGGUGAAAUUCGUAGAUAUUCGGAAGAACACCAGUGGCGAAGGCGGCUCACUGGACCGGCAUUGACGCUGAGGUGCGAAAGCGUGGGGAGCAAACAGG